AAAUUGAAGAGUUUGAUCAUGGCUCAGAUUGAACGCUGGCGGCAGGCCUAACACAUGCAAGUCGAACGGUAGCACAGAGAGCUUGCUCUCGGGUGACGAGUGGCGGACGGGUGAGUAAUGUCUGGGAAACUGCCUGAUGGAGGGGGAUAACUACUGGAAACGGUGGCUAAUACCGCAUAACGUCGCAAGACCAAAGAGGGGGACCUUCGGGCCUCUUGCCAUCAGAUGUG
This 230-nucleotide ribosomal RNA is filed under the name Salmonella enterica subsp. enterica serovar Infantis. RNAcentral's name for it is "partial 16S ribosomal RNA". It matches the Rfam family "Bacterial small subunit ribosomal RNA", at positions 1 to 229 of the family's 1533-position model. RNAcentral also lists the same sequence under 3 other names. The record is from RNAcentral. Lineage: Bacteria; Pseudomonadati; Pseudomonadota; Gammaproteobacteria; Enterobacterales; Enterobacteriaceae.